This 3098-nucleotide long non-coding RNA is filed under the name Octopus vulgaris (common octopus). Lineage: Eukaryota; Metazoa; Mollusca; Cephalopoda; Octopoda; Octopodidae. The record is from RNAcentral.
CAGGCUAAAACCAGAAACGGAGAAACUAGUGAGAUGCCUUCUGGCUGCAGAUGUCGAUGACAAGAAGUCGCUAACAGACGAAUGGUCGAAGAAUAAGACUUGUAAGUUUUUUUGUCAUCACAUAAUUCUGUGAUUUUAUGGUGUAACUUACACUGGUGUUUAUAUGGUGUAAUAUAAGUACAGGGAUUCCCCGACUUGCACAGAAUUCGACCUAAGGGUAGACAUGGUUAGAUGAUAUCCAUUGUCUCUGUUUGUCAUGGUUAGGGACCCAGCAGGAAAAGAGUAAUGAUGGUUGCUUCUGAUAGGACCCUAUGUAGGAGGUACCUCAGGACUCUACCUCCACAACCCUCUCAGAAAUAGUGGGAAGAGAAGAUGGAUGGAUAGAUUGAAUAUCAGCCCCUAUCUAUCUCUCUAUCCGCCCAGUCGAAGUCGACUCUCGGUCACUCGGAUCAGUGUCCUCCAGUCAGUUCUAUCCUGGACCGCUUCUUUCAAAUUGGCUAUGUCCAUUCUGAUAUCACUCUUGAUGGUGUCAAGCCAGCGGGUUCUUGGUCGGCCUCUUCCUCUCUUGCCACUGACCAUUCCGAGCAUGAUGUCCUUCUCCGGGGAUUUUCUCCACAUAAUAUGACUGAAAUAUGCCAAUCUAUGCUUGGUGAUCCUAGCUUCUAGCGACAUUUUCGGCCUUAUCUGCUUAAGAACUUCUCCAUUGGUGAGCCUCACUGUCCAUGGAAUUCGUAAAAGUCUUCUCCAACACCAAAGCUCGAAUGCAUUAAUUCUCUUCUGGUCAGCUUUCUUUAGUGUCCAUAUAUAUAUAUAUAUAUAUAUAUACACAUAUAUAUACACACAUAUAUAUACACACAUAUCUAUCUAUCUAUCUAUGUGCUCAGUUGACUCUCGGUCACUCGUUGGAUCAGUGUCCUCCAGUCAGUUCUAUCCUGGGCUGCUUCUUUAAGACUGGCCAUGUCCAUUCUGGUAUCACUCUUGAUGGUGUCAAGCCAGCGGGUUCUUGGUCGGCCUCUUCCUCUCUUGCCACUGACCAUUCUGAGCAUGAUGUCCUCCGCCAGGGAUUUUCUCCGCAUAAUAUGACCGAAAUAUGCCAAUUUAUGCUUGGUGAUCCUAGCUUCUAGCGACAUUUUCGGCCUGAUCUGCUUAAGAACUUCUCCAUUGGUCGGCCUCUUCCUCUCUUGCCACUGACCAUUCCGAGCAUGAUGUCCUUCUCCAGGGAUUUUCUCUGCAUAAUAUAUAACAUGACCAAGAUAUGCCAAUCUAUGCUUGGUGAUCCCAGCUUCUAGUGACAUUUUCGGCCUGAUCUGCUUAAGAACUUCUCCAUUGGUCGGCCUCUUCCUCUCUUGCCACUGACCAUUCCGAGCAUGAUGUCCUUCUCCAGGGAUUUUCUCUGCAUAAUAUAUAACAUGACCAAAAUAUGCCAAUCUAUGCUUGGUGAUCCCAGCUUCUAGUAACAUUUUCGGCCUGAUCUGCUUAAGAACUUCUCCAUUGGUGAGCCUCGCUGUCCAUGGAAUCUGUAAAAGUCUUCUCCAACACCAAAGCUCGAAUGCAUUAAUUCUCUUCUGGUCAGCUUUCUUUAGUGUCCAUAUAUAUACACAAAUAUAUCUCUCUAUCCGCUCAGUCGAAGUCGACUCUCGGUCACUCGUUGGGUCGGCCUCUUCCUCUCUUGCCACUGACCAUUCCGAGCAUGAUGUCCUUCUCCAGGGAUUUUCUCCACAUAAUAUAACCGAAAUAUGCCAAUCUAUGCUUGGUGAUCCUAGCUUCUAGCGACAUUUUCUGCCCUAUCUGCUUAAGAACUUCUCCAUUGGUGAGCCUCACUGUCCAUGGAAUUCGUAAAAGUCUUCUCCAACACCAAAGCUCGAAUGCAUUAAUUCUCUUCUGGUCAGCUUUCUUUAGUGUCCAUAUAUAUAUAUAUAUACACAUAUAUACACACACAUAUAUAUACACACAUAUAUCUAUCUAUCUAUCUAUGUGCUCAGUUGACUCUCGGUCACUCGUUGGAUCAGUGUCCUCCAGUCAGUUCUAUCCUGGGCCGCUUCUUUCAGACUGGCUAUGUCCAUUCUGGUAUCACUCUUGAUGGUGUCAAGCCAGUGGGUUCUUGGUCGGCCUCUUCCUCUCUUGCCACUGACCAUUCCGCAGUCGAAGUCGACUCUCGGUUACUCGUUGGAUCAGUGUCCUCCAGUCAGUUCUAUCCUGGGCCGCUUCCUUCAGAUUGGCCAUGUUCAUUCCGGUAUCACUCUUGAUGGUAUCAAGCCAGCGGGUUCUUGGUCGGCCUCUUCCACUCUUGUCACUGACCAUUCCGUAUAUAUAUAUAUAUAUAUCCGCUCAGUCGAAGUCGACUCUCGGUCACUCGUUGGAUCAGUGUCCUCCAGUCAGUUCUAUCCUGGGCCGCUUCUUUCAGACUGGCUAUGUCCAUUCUGGUAUCACUCUUGAUGGUGUCAAGCCAGCGGGUUCUUGGUCGGCCUCUUCCUCUCUUGCCACUGACCAUUCCGAGCAUGAUGUCCUCCGCCAGGGAUUUUCUUCGCAUAACAUGACCGAAACAUGCCAAUCUAUGCUUGGUGAUCCUAGCUUCUAGCGACGUUUUUGGCCUGAUCUGCUUAAGAACUUCUCCAUUGGUCGGCCUCUUCCUCUCUUGCCACUGACCAUUCCGAGCAUUCUCCAGGGAUUUUCUCUGCAUAAUAUAUAACAUGACCAAAAUAUGCCAAUCUAUAUUUGGUGAUCCUAGCUUCUAGCGACAUUUUCGGCCUGAUCUGCUUAAGAACUUCUCCAUUGGUGAGCCUCGCUGUCCAUGGAAUCCGUAAAAGUCUUCUCCAACACCAAAGCUCGAAUGCAUUAAUUCUCUUCAGCAGCCCCAGUUAUUAACAAUUUGUUUAAUUUGUUUUCUUUGUAGAUCUUCUAGCAGAAUACUUGAAAUGGUUACCUGAGGAACAACAUGCCGCAGUAAAAGAACUAUGGCCACCAGUCUAAUUGCUUCCUUUGUUAGCAUCACUAACGAUCAUUUUUAAUGUAAAAAGUCAUUGACUAAAAGAUAAAUAUAUAUUUAUUUAUAUUUCUAAACUGUUUUCCUUGUUAAUUUUUUGUGUAUAUGUUUGCAU